AACCGGGGAAGGGUGUAAUACCCGGCUAGAUUCCGGCAUCGGAAUCCCUACCUUCCGGCGGAAUCUCCGUUGGAAUAUGGAAUGUUGAUGAUGCCAGAGUCUUCUAGAGGGGUAAAAUGUGUUUUCUAAAAUGAUUUUUACUGAUUUCAUGGUUUUAAAUGAAAAAGAUUUGAGUUUUGAAAAGAAAAGACUAAGGAGGUUUUUGCCAGGUUCGGCCGCCGAAAGUGAAGUUCGGCCGCCGAACAUGAGUUGGUUUCGGGAGCGCCUUUGGCCUCCGAAAGUCUUGAUUGAACAAACCAGGUUCGGCCGCCGAACCUCAAGUUCGGCCGCCGAACAUGGGGGUGUUUUGCAUGCACGUUAGGCCGCCGAAGGAGGUUUGGCUGGCCACCUAUAAAAGCCCCUCAGACCGGAAAUGGGCGAG
Molecule: long non-coding RNA, 421 nt
Filed under: Manihot esculenta (cassava)
Lineage: Eukaryota; Viridiplantae; Streptophyta; Magnoliopsida; Malpighiales; Euphorbiaceae
Description: long non-coding RNA (MESC_LNC000985)
Source: RNAcentral